RNAcentral lists this non-coding RNA (31 nucleotides) under Rattus norvegicus (Norway rat). The record is from RNAcentral. Lineage: Eukaryota; Metazoa; Chordata; Mammalia; Rodentia; Muridae.
UCACUGUGUAGCCUUACAGGCUGAUAGGAUA